Molecule: ribosomal RNA, 492 nt
Filed under: uncultured bacterium
Lineage: Bacteria
Description: partial 16S ribosomal RNA
Rfam family: Bacterial small subunit ribosomal RNA
Source: RNAcentral
GAUGAACGCUAGCUACAGGCUUAACACAUGCAAGUCGAGGGGAAACGACAUCGAAAGCUUGCUUUUGAUGGGCGUCGACCGGCGCACGGGUGAGUAACGCGUAUCCAACCUGCCCAUCACUUGGGAAUAACCUUGCGAAAGUAAGACUAAUACCCAAUGACAUCCCACGAAGACAUCUGAAUGGGAUUAAAGAUUUAUCGGUGAUGGAUGGGGAUGCGUCUGAUUAGCUUGUUGGCGGGGUAACGGCCCACCAAGGCAACGAUCAGUAGGGGUUCUGAGAGGAAGGUCCCACACAUUGGAACUGAGACACGGUCCAAACUCCUACGGGAGGCAGCAGUGAGGAAGAUUGGUCAAUGGGCGAGAGCCUGAACCAGCCAAGUAGCGUGCAGGAUGACGGCCCUAUGGGUUGUAAACUGCUUUUAUAAGGGAAUAAAGUGGGUCUCGUGAGACUUUUUGCAUGUACCUUAUGAAUAAGGACCGGCUAAUUCCGUG